RNA transcript from Scatophagus argus, 5597 nucleotides. It is a transcript of the gene named cilia and flagella associated protein 65, with no coding region annotated. The transcript is spliced from 36 exons. Lineage: Eukaryota; Metazoa; Chordata; Actinopteri; Scatophagidae. The record is from RefSeq and is a predicted model, not a curated record.
UGAUACAAACGGUUGCUUGUUGCCAUGGUAACUCUGUGGCAGACAAACUUCUCAAACCUGUUCCCUUCCCUGUUGCUAAUAGCAUAACCAGGACUCAAAUGGAAUAAACAGCAGCAGCUUGCAAACUUUAUUAUUUGACAUUUGACAGAAGUCAUGUUAGCUGAGGCUCGGGGUCCUGACCCCUUGGUUUCAGGAGCGCCGUGGAAGCCAUCUACCGCUGGGAAGGAUAUCAAAAGGCAACACGAUGGAAAGCACCAGCGACAAGCAUCUAGCCAAAGAAGCUGCUUCUUAGGGUUGGAAAUGAAGUCAGAGCUCGUCUGGGAGGACUGGGACCUGCAACGAGAGUUCACAAAAACAUUAGUGUUAAAGAAUAUUCAUAGCAAGCUGCAGAAGCUACAUGUCAGGCCUCCAGUGUCCAAGUUUUUCACCAUCUCGAUUGCCCAGACCGUUGUUCUCAGCCCAGGGACCUCUUUCUCCAUGCCAGUCACCUUUAGACCACUCCAGAGGUGUGAAUAUGAAGACAGUAUUGAGUUUGAAGGUAAAGAUGGCAGCUUUCAAGUAUGCCUCCGUGCCACCAUUCCCUGUCAUGCCCUGGAGGUGCCAGAUUCUGUUCUGCUGCCGCUCUGUGCUGUUCAACACUCCUCACAUACUACUUUCCAUCUCAGAAAUGUCAGUAAACUCCAGACAUGCUUCCAGUGGGAGUGUGCGCCACCAUUCCAGCUAAGGCCUGAGCAAGGUCUAUUGAAGCCUGGCCAGGAGUGUCAUAUCACAGUGGUCUUCCAGCCACAAGAGGCACUGGUGUACCAGCAACAAGCCUUCUGCAGGUUUGGAGAAGACAUGGACAAGGCCGAGAGCUGCUGUGCUGUGCUCUUGGAAGGACUAGCCAAGUACCCAUGUCUUCAGCUGAGAAGUCCAGGUGCCAAGGAUAAAAAACAAGACUGUGGACCAGUGCUGCACUUUGGCUCUGUGGUAGUUGGCCAAAAUUUGCAGAAACACUUUGACAUCUUCAACCCUUCCCCUGUAACUGCGUCUUUUUCUCUUUCCCGACUGUCUAAUUUGGUGCCUUUGUUGGGGUCAGAAUUCAGCUGUGAUGUGACCAAGGGUAAGGUGGCACCUGGUGGAUCAUUACGGGUUAUGGUCACCUAUACGCCUGCUGUGGUGGAUACUGUCUCUAUUGAGUACUUAUCUCUAAAAUGCAGAGGGGCACUCAAGGAAACUCUUCUUAAACUUUCUGGAAACUGUGUGGGUCCCAAAGUUUCAUUGUCCUCCUCUGUGGUGGACUUUGGCUGUGUUGAUGAAGGAGGAGCAGUUGUACAGACAGUGGAACUGAUUAAUUCUUCACCCGCUGAGGCUAUCUACCAAUGGGACAUUGACUGCAAUGGGCACAGUGUGUUCAACAUCCAGCCAGCAAGUGGCACUGUGCGCCCGCAUAGCCAUACCACACUAAAGGCAGUCUAUAGGCCCACACAGCCUAUUGCACAUCACAGAAGAGUGGCGUGUCUCAUUCUGCACAGGGACCCCAUGUUCCUUGACCUUAUUGGUACGUGUCACUCAGAGCUGCAGCAACCAGCCAUACUGAAACCUGAGCACCUGGUUCUGUACAAGCUUCAGUGGUACCGCAGACAGGACCUGGUAGACACUCCCAGUAUCAGUGAGCAGGGGGACAGACAGGGAGUGAUCGGUCCUCUAGAGGAGUUACACCAGAGACCAGAAAGUGCUGGUGUUGCAUCCAGAACUCCCAUGGAGGAAUAUUACCAAUCCUGCUUGGGGUGGUUUGACCCACUCUCCUCCAGUUCUGCUUUAUCAUCUCCACAUGUGUCUGUGGUGCCCGGUGAACUACUGUUUAAUCACAAAAUGUCCUCCUCAUUGUCAACUUCAUCCACAUCCUCUCAUUCUGUCUCCAUCACCAACCAUACCAAGGGGAAGCUGAGCCUGGUGUGGACUGCUGCCCAAGACUCUCCAUUCUCUGUAUCUCCCUUCUCAUGUGACCUGGCUCCACUGAAGUCCACCUCAUUCAGAGUGAACUACGACCCCAAGCAGCUCAAUACCCUACACGCAGCGCAGCUCGAGUGCUUUGCAUACUAUAAAGAUAAUCACCACAUGGAGGAGCGACUGCUGUGUCCACCCUGGUGUGUGACCGUCAGAGUCAUAGGCCACUCCUUUCAACCAGGCAAAGACCACUUCAUCCCAUGUUGCUCCCUGAAGCCCUCUCGAGUGGUGUUCCCAGCACUCAGUGUUCUGUCAUAUCGGAUGGUGCUCCUUCAGAAUAGUGGAGACCUGCCCCUCACAUUCUGCUUGGACCACAGCUCAAACCCUUCUUUGGCAGAAUCUGUGUCUGUAGUGCCGAGCUGUGGUUUGAUCCAGCCCGGCAACCACCAAAUCCUCACCCUCAGAACAACUUCCACAGAAGACAGUCCCAAGCAGGGCUUCAGUGUACACCUUCAGCUCAAUGCAGCUGAACACACAAAGGAGCUGACAGUUGUCAGUGUGUUGGAAAAGCUGUGUGUGUCUCUGGAAGGAGAUGGUAUCUUAUAUUUCCACCCAACAGCGGUGGGCUCACGGACAGAGCGCUCCCACCACAUCAGAAACCUCAGUCAGCUACCUCUACGAUUCCAGUGGAGCAUUCCAGAGCCAGACCAGGAGCUUAUCUUUGUUGAACCAGCUGCUGGUGAACUGCAUCCCAAUGAGAGCUCAGUUCAAUUAUGGUCCUUCAGCCCACUGGCGGAAAAAGCCUACACACUCAAACCCACUCUCACCUUCUGGCCGAUGCAGACACCUGGAUGUAACAAGUCACAACUUACCCUUAAAGUGGUGGGAAUGGGCUCUAAAGGCUUCAUAGAGGCAGAGAAAGCAGUUCUGGAUAUUGGAGAUAUUCUGGUUGGAAGCUAUCGGUCAAUUGAGAUUCCGCUAGUGAACAACAGCCCUUGCCCUGUUUCCUUUUGUCUGUCUGUAGAGCAGAUACAUCUGGAUGAGGAACCUAUUUAUGAGUCUGAGGCUGUGCCAAGUGCCCUACAGCUGGACUGUGAGAGGGGAACCAUCACCUCACACUCCACAAUGCUACUUCGAUCCACUGCCAGACCACACAGACGAGCCCAGUACUUGUGGAUCAUCAGCUACCAGACAUUGAAUGCCAGCGGGUUUGUGUCAUCCCCUCCCCAAGCACUUUGUGAAGUGCAAGCUAAAGGCGUAUUUCCCACCUUAAAGGUGAUUGACGCAUGCGGUGGUGGCAGUGUCGACAAACUUAGCAAGGUGCAUCUCUGGAAGCUCUUCUCAUUGGACAGCCUCAAUGAACAUCUGUUCUCCAACCCCUCUCCUGUAGAACUCACUUAUAAAACCCCCACCAGGCACAGUUUGCAUUCUUCUCCUUCCACCUUCACUAAAACCGUGUUGGAUUUCAACUUCAGUGCUGCCCCCGUGCUUUCAGACCCCUCAACUUUUGUGUUGAUGUUUCACAACCCUGGUUCUAUCCCUGUGGACUGGGCAUUCUUGUUUCCAGAGGACCAACAGAUAGAAUUGGAGUAUUGGGCAGAGACAGGAGAGUUUAGCAGCACAGAGCUGUGCCAAAUGAAGGUUCAGGACAACCAUCUGUUUAACAUUUCUCCUCGUUCUGGAACUUUAGUCCCUGGCCAGCAGAGGGCAGUACACUUCAGCUACAGCCAUAACUUUCCUGGGACAAAUCGAUUUCCUGUCGUAUUCAAACUUUCUUAUGGCAGAGAACUCUUGGUCUGUGUGCAGAUAAACUUUCAGGGGGUGACGGUGGAGAGAGACAGACCGUAUGUCCACUUUGCCUCCAAGCGACAUGUCUUCACUCCUGUAACUAUUGGUGGCUGCACUCCUCCGAGGCAGGUGUGCGAACUACACAAUGGUGGUGCAGUGCCAGUCCGUUAUGAGGUGGACCUGGCUGUUUUGGCUCAGCUACAGGUGGACAACUUUAACCAUCCGGUGCUGUGUUGCCUCAGCCCAAAGGGAGAGGUUCCACCUGGGACGACUGCUAUGCUGGAAUGGAUCUUUUCUCCACUAGAGGCUAAGAUGUACCACAUGGAUAUUCCUAUUCAUGUUCAGGAUGGUGACUCCACUCUGGUGAGGUUUGAAGGAUGUGGAUUAAAUUCUCCUGCACUGGGUUCCAAAGACUCCUUCAAUGAUAGUGAUACUGAGGCAUUGGAACCCUGCGUCCAGAGGCUGCCCUUCCCAGGACAGGUAGUAUUCCUGUCUGAGGACACCGUCUCUCUAGGCAACAUCCCUGUGUGCUCACGAUCUUCAAGAAUCUUCUUCCUGACUAAUGUGUCCCACACAGACACUGUCGUCUAUACAUGGGACAAGAGCAAUCAGCAGGUGGUGCAGAUCCAUCCAGAGCGAGGGAGUCUAUGUCCAGGGGAAAGUGCCCUGUGUGUCCUUACCUUCACUUCUACUGACUACCCCACUUGCUAUCAACUAGAUAUCAUCUGUCAGGUUAUUCAGGAAGCUGCACUGACUCGGUAUCAUGAUGCUUUGCAGUGUUGGGAGGAAAAAAAACAGAGACAGCAAGAUGAAUUCACUAUCACAGACAAAAAUCUUACAGAAAGCCAAUUAGUUCUGACAGAUGAGGAACUUGCUGCAGCUCCAGUAAGAAAAGGACCUCCACUCAGGAAAUAUAAGACUCUUCCUCCUAUCUGUACCAGUGGUAGCUGUGAACCAGUAGCCACUGUAUGUACAAAGGUAACAAGAGCUGAGCAUCGGGCACAACGGGAAAAAGCAACAGUAUGGAGGCGCCCUAAACCCCCCCAACCUGCUAAGCUGCACCUGGGUGUUACAGCACACUCCUAUGGACUUCUGGAGUACAUUAAGUACUUCCCUGACCAGUUCAAUAAGCACUAUAGAUGCCUCCAGUCAGUCAUGUCCCAACAACCUGAAAUCACUUUUUCAAGCUCGUCCGUCCCUGCCCGUUUGUCUUCACAACAUGACCUUGAGAGAGACAUCACCACGCACGUACUCAUCUCUCUGCUCAGUGGCAUACUUGAUGAUCCUGCCUUCACGCAGUCUCUGAUGACUUCCGCAUCCAAGCCCAUCACCUACCACCCACCUUUUCCAUCCUCUUCACCCCAGCAUCAGAUUCUGUUGAGUGAGACAAUGGCUGAGCAGAGGGAACAGCACAAAGAAGUGGACAGUGAAGGGACUGCAGGAUGUUCGGGAAACAGGCCUCAAACACAGGAAACACUGUUCAGCGCGCAUGUGCCUGCCGACAUAAGUGAGAAUAUUUUACUGAAUACCCUCCAGAACCUGAUGAUGGAAGCUGUCAGAGGAGAGCUUGUCCUCACAGCACACCCACGCUUUGUUAUCCUGCCACCUGUUUCUACCAGCAGAUUAACAGUCUGGGUGUUCCAUUUGAACCAGAGGGAAGUCCAAAGCUGUGGCUGAGGAGGAGGGAGAAGACCUGCAAAACAGAGAGGAACCAGCAGCGUUUUAAUCCUCACCGUCUACCCAACUUCCAAGAGUCUCUGUAGGAAGUACGGGCUAAAGACUUUGGACAUGAAGUUGAGGGGGAAGCGUUCCAGGUGGAUGCAGGCGUGCAACACCUCUAUCAGACAGCGAGGCUGGAACUGGGAAAACCUUGCUGACAA